Non-coding RNA from Misgurnus anguillicaudatus (oriental weatherfish), 1471 nucleotides. The record is from RefSeq and is a predicted model, not a curated record. Lineage: Eukaryota; Metazoa; Chordata; Actinopteri; Cypriniformes; Cobitidae.
AACGGGUUCCAUAUAGAACCCUUGGAAGGCAAAGAACCAUUUUUAUUAAAAUGGUUCUAUAAUUCACGUUUUGUGACUGAAGUGUAAACUAAAGAUACACAAUAAUUGCAGACCUACACAACUCAUUUACAAACCUACACAACUCAUUCACAAACCUUUUUGUGUCAAUAGGCUGUGGUCAAAUAAAGAGAGAGUCAACAAAUAGGCUAUUAAUAUUUAGUGUAUGAUUUAUUUCCUGUGAGCUUUUUUAUGCAAGUUUGUACAUUAGCAUGAAACUUACAGUGCAGUUUGCGUUUUUGGUGAAUUACCAGGUGUUUUCUUUAUUUUGUACAUUCUAAAUUGUCAAUGUUUGUUUAAUUUAACCUGAAGGGGCAUUAAAACGAAUAAUCGCAAAAGUGCCCUCUGGUGGCGUAUAUAUGCGUUGCACCAUAAGCGAAGAUGAGCCUCGUGACGUGACAGUUUUUUUUCAAACUGAGGUGAGGAGUUCGGACUCCGGACCGGCAUUUGUUUGUACCCUGAGAUAACCAUGGUUAAUAAAUGAUCAGACACGUCACUGGCUUUAAAAUAUAAACCCCAUUGAUGCAAAAAGAUGCUGCAUGGAAUGACAAUGAGGUUUGGAACAGACUUGGUGAAGAACAUGGAAACAUCUCUAAAUAAAAUGGCCCCAAACAUCAUCAGGAGUGCAAAAGAAGGAAGUAAAAAACAUCUCUACGCCAAUCUCAUUGGAGAGGAAACCACAGAAGGUCUGGUGAGGAAUGCUGAACUUAUGUUAUUGCCAGCAUUAUUUCAGGAAAAUCCCAGCUUCCUUGACUGUGUAAAUAGUGAACCCAAAGGUCCCACACCAACCAUAGUGUUCAACGGCUCUCCUGAUCUUCUCAAAUCUGAAAGUAUCAACUUUAUAAUGGACAAUGUGAACUUAAUAUGUGGAAGACAUUGACAUCACAGGCUGUGGAAUGACUGUGUCACAGGUCGGAGAAGCGGACCGCCCCUGUCGCGGAUCACGCUCCUCCUAGUUCCACCUCGAGGAGGUCCCAAAGCACCCCAAUGAGCAGACAAACCAGAGAUAAGUAAAAUAUAAAAAUAUAAACUUUAUUUAAAUUAUUUAAAACUAAAGUGGGGAAUGGGAAUCUAAAAAUCUCGCUUCUCGCCCUCAGGGGGAGUAUUACGGGGCCAGGGACGUUGGAGGGGUUUCCACGUGACUCCAGCUGGAACACCGCUAGAGAGCGUAUCUGGGUGGGUUGGGCACACACCGUCGCGGCGGCCCCUGAUGGCAUCCACAAAGGUCCAAGACCCUCCUAAGCUCCCAGCCGUAGCAGAACUACGUAUUUCAGCACCCGAACGACUAACAACCCAGCCGGCAUCUGCAGCGUAUAUCCAACGCGAUCAAACUUCACUCUGACAAGUAACUUCCUAUACACAACCACGCCGUCCUUUCGCCCGGACCAGCCCCGCACUCUUUCCGCCCGCUACC